UAAAUGUCUACAAAUUGGAGAUGGUUGAGAGACUCUUCUAUCUCAAACCUAGAUACCUGCUUCGAAAAUGUCUUCAUCUGAUGUGAUGUUGUUGUAGUUCAAGCCCAGUCCGCCACUCAACCUUUGACGCUCUCUGUAAAGGCUGACUGCAGACAGAUAGUCUGACACGGCUGCGUCGAUUUUGGGCGUUGCCAUCUUGCUGAUUGAUGAGAAGUCAACGAAAAUACAAGCAUCUAUCAACACCGGCUGAACACCUUCAGAGAAAUCUUGCAAGAGAGAUCAUUUUAUGAGCUAAGCGUUUUUGAUUUUACACGAAGCAACACGAACUUCAGAACCCGACAAAGAGCUUCCGGUGGUUCCGCAACUUUGACACAAUCUGAUUUGGCCAACACAAAAACUGGCUUGCAAGGGUUUAAACCAACGUAAUCGAUGGAUGCCUAGCAAAAAAAAAAUGAAGAGGAGAAGUCUAAGAAUGAAAACAACCAUCCAAUUAGUUCUGUAGAUCAAGGCACAAGUAGGAAUCGUCGAUUCUGGGGUUUCUUUGAGCGCUCAAUGAGGAAGUCCGCUCCAAACUUAUUGCAUGCAGAUGAACGUAUUGAGAGAUCCAGAGAAAACAUUGAUAGCUUGGAUUCCAAACCCAAUGAGAUCUAUCAGUUUGAACUUCUAAGGAAUGAAAUGAUAGAGCUGGAGAAGCGGGUCCAAAGAAGUACAGAUGAGUCGGUAAAUGAAGAGGGAAGUUUUGAGGAUCCUUCAUUUACCAGGUAAUGUUCUUACUUUUGUACUUUUUUCUCAUCUCUUUGAUUAAGUUGACAAACUAUCUCAUCGACUAAUUACAGAACCAUGAGGCAAACACAGUUUAUACCUCGGUUUGUUCCAUAGAUCAUUGACAAGAGUUGUGUAUAAAGCUUUGAUAUUUUUUUGCCCAUAACUAACAUUUAAUUUUUAUGAUCCUGUGCAAAUUGAUAUUACAUGAGAUGAUGGCGAUGGUCAAAAAACAUGUUUGUUAUCGUCUACUCGCUUCUCAUCACUCACGGAUACUACAUUUACCUCAUUAAGACAUGGUGCAAGAAAACGACAUGGAUGUAUUUGAUGGUACGAAAGGCUAAUUUGUGCGUUCAGGUCAAGCAUCGAGGCUGUUUCAAUAGUAGAGGAAAUGUCUUGACCAAGCAACUUUCGAUACAAAAGCGUGGAAUACAUGUACCUCAACUGUUCUGAAGUUUCUUCAUCAGAAUGGUAUAUUGAAUCAGUGUCUACAUCAACGUUAUAGGAGGCAUGACUAAGAAAUUAAGACAAGUAUUAUCUGCGGUACUUUACACUUUGUUUCUCCACUAAACAUAAACACAACAGAUCCACUGAGUCUAAAUGUAGCUUACUUUGUCUGUAUAUGAUCCCUGGGUGUGUAAACCACGCCUUCGUAAUGAUUACAGAUUGAACAGAGUCGACCUGAGA
Long non-coding RNA from Brassica oleracea var. oleracea, 1449 nucleotides. RefSeq lists it as uncharacterized. The record is from RefSeq and is a predicted model, not a curated record. Lineage: Eukaryota; Viridiplantae; Streptophyta; Magnoliopsida; Brassicales; Brassicaceae. The transcript has 9 exons.